AUGUACAUUGGCCAAAUUGGGUACCUGAAGCCAAUUAGAGCACCUGAAGCUAGUCACCUGAUACAAACCCCCUGCUUCAAUCAGCUAGGGGAAGGAGUUGGAGAAGAGUGGUUUGGAGUUGGAGAAGAGAGUAGUUUGGAGGAGUUGAAGUAGAGGAGAGUCUGGAGAAGUACCAUGGCUGGCUAGAAGACCAAGACCCUAGGUAAAGACACACCCAGCUUGUGCAGAGAGAGAGGGCAGGAAGCCCCACAAGCUGAAGAGCAGGAGAAGGAAGUAGCCCAGGGGAAGGAAGCACGAGUUCAAGUGGUUUAUCACUAUCCCUAAGGCCCCUGGGCUGGGACCUGGAGCAGAGGGCAGGCCCGGGUCCCUCUCUCUCCACUACCCUUCUCUGGGU
Dermochelys coriacea (leatherback sea turtle) is the source of this 394-nucleotide long non-coding RNA. RefSeq lists it as uncharacterized. The record is from RefSeq and is a predicted model, not a curated record. Lineage: Eukaryota; Metazoa; Chordata; Testudines; Dermochelyidae. The transcript has 4 exons.